GAUGAAGAACGCAGCGAAAUGCGAUAUGUAAUGUGAAUUGCAGAAUUCAGUGAAUCAUCGAAUCUUUGAACGCACAUUGCGCCCGCCAGUAUUCUGGCGGGCAUGCCUGUUCGAGCGUCAUUUCAACCAUCAAGCCCCCGGCUUGUGUUGGGGACCUGCGGCUGCCGCAGGCCCUGAAAACCAGUGGCGGGCUCGCUAGUCACUCCGAGCGUAGUAAUACAUCUCGCUCAGGGCGUGCUGCGGGUUCCGGCCGUUAAAAAGCCUUAUUUACCCAAGGUUGACCUCGGAUCAGGUAGGAAGACCCGCUGAACUUAAGCAUAUCAAUAAGCGGAGGA
RNAcentral lists this unclassified non-coding RNA (335 nucleotides) under soil metagenome. RNAcentral describes it as "partial contains 5.8S ribosomal RNA, internal transcribed spacer 2, and large subunit ribosomal RNA". The stretch from base 1 to 120 matches the Rfam family "5.8S ribosomal RNA", at positions 35 to 154 of the family's 154-position model. The record is from RNAcentral.